CCACUCCUGACGUCACCUCCUCCCGCCCGACCGGAAAGCAUCUUCGUCCUCAAUCUGCGCACGCGUAGCUUCGCCCCACCUUCUCCUCCCGAACCUAGCAACCGGAAUGCGUGCCAGACGGUCACAGUCCAAUCGCUGACGAGAUCGAAAAGGCUGUGGGCGGGGUUUUCUCUUCCCUCGGAGCCAGUCGCCUGACGGCGCGCGGGGCAAGGCCCCCUGGCCGCACGUGAGGCUUCUGCACCCGGAAGGGAGCGCUCGGAACUCCUGAAAUACAGAUAUCAAGGGCUCCAGACAUUGUACAAGUUUCCCUUUAAGUUAUCAUAGGAAUGUAGAACAAUGCCAGUGGAUGGACCCCUCCCGGAGGAGUGUGGAAAGCAAAGACCAGUUGAUUUAGAAGUGACUAUUAAAAGUACUGCAUCCAAAGUCCAUUGCUCUUUGCCUCCCAGAAGGACUUUCCUUCCCUCAAAGUCAUCUCUCCACUAGUCUCAACAUCUUUCAUGAGAGAGAUAGAAGAGAAUUUCUCCUCCACCUCUACCCUGAUGUGUUUCAGGCUGGGCUCUAAAUUAACUCUAAAAAAGCACCUGCACAUACACAAAAUAAAAUGUUAGUCACCCUCCAUGAAAAGUGGAGGGCUUUAGAAUUACCUCCGUCCAAACCCCCUGGGCCUCAUGAACAAACAGUAACUCUUCAGUGGAGCAAUGGCCAGGCACCACCCUCACUUACUGCCCCACCCCCACCUCCACACACACGUCCCCUUUCUGUCCUCUUACUGUCUCUGGUUGCCCUCUGAAAGGGAGAAAAGAAAUCCACUCAACCUUAUAGUUUCUCCUGCCUGGGGUUUUGCCAGUUAGUGCCCCUGCUGUCCAGUGGUCCCCAGUGGAGGCAUAGGCCAAUGCCUGUCCACUGGCAAGGAGUGGGAUUAUCCUCACCCAUCAACCCACCACUGCUAACAGCCAUUCCUGGACCUCAGAACUCUUCACAAGAGGGCUGGAGAGAAAA
Long non-coding RNA from Mustela erminea (ermine), 999 nucleotides. RefSeq lists it as uncharacterized. NCBI's taxonomy places the organism in Eukaryota, Metazoa, Chordata, Mammalia, Carnivora, Mustelidae. The transcript is spliced from 2 exons. The record is from RefSeq and is a predicted model, not a curated record.